UAGACACAAAUUACAUAAACUAAUCAUUUUUUAAAUUCAGGAUUUUCAGGUUUAACCCUUUCCGUGUUCAUUGUCAGGAUCUCACUCACGUGCCCAGGUGCUACCUGGGUGGGUGAAAGACAUUGGGCACGAUGACUAUAGUUUGUAACUUUAUAAAAAAUUUCUCAGCGACUGACAAUGUGUUAGCGUACCGUGCACGACGUAUUUCCACAUGUGUGUUGUGUGGUUAGGAUGUGGAAUUGCGUCGUUUCCAUUGUUCCAUUCAUUAUAAGUUGAAACAUAUAUAAUAUUUAUGCACUAAUCUAAAGAAUUAUUUUGAAUUAAUUUUCA
Molecule: long non-coding RNA, 330 nt
Organism: Frieseomelitta varia
Lineage: Eukaryota; Metazoa; Arthropoda; Insecta; Hymenoptera; Apidae
Exons: 3
Source: RefSeq, a predicted model, not a curated record